UACAGAGGGUGCAAGCGUUAAUCGGAAUUACUGGGCGUAAAGGGCGCGUAGGCGGUGAGAUGUGUGGGAUGUGAAAGCCCUGGGCUUAACCUAGGAAGUGCAUACCAAACUAUCUGACUGGAGUAUAAGAGAGGGUGGCGGAAUUUCCGGUGUAGCGGUGAAAUGCGUAGAGAUCGGAAAGAACGUCGAUGGCGAAGGCAGCCACCUGGCUUAAUACUGACGCUGAGGCGCGAAAGCGUGGGGAGCAAACAGG
This 253-nucleotide ribosomal RNA is filed under the name uncultured Aquicella sp. RNAcentral's name for it is "partial 16S ribosomal RNA". It matches the Rfam family "Bacterial small subunit ribosomal RNA", at positions 524 to 776 of the family's 1533-position model. Lineage: Bacteria; Pseudomonadati; Pseudomonadota; Gammaproteobacteria; Legionellales; Coxiellaceae. The record is from RNAcentral.